UGAGAGACCCCUUAGAGACGAUGAGGUAGAUAGGGCAGAGAUGGAAGUGCAGCGAUGCAUGGAGUUGACUGUUACUAAUCGGUCGAAAGCUUGACCUU
This 98-nucleotide ribosomal RNA is filed under the name Anaerobutyricum hallii. RNAcentral describes it as "partial 23S ribosomal RNA". It matches the Rfam family "Bacterial large subunit ribosomal RNA", at positions 2827 to 2925 of the family's 2925-position model. The record is from RNAcentral. Lineage: Bacteria; Bacillati; Bacillota; Clostridia; Lachnospirales; Lachnospiraceae.